Molecule: long non-coding RNA, 4991 nt
Organism: Mus musculus (house mouse)
Lineage: Eukaryota; Metazoa; Chordata; Mammalia; Rodentia; Muridae
Exons: 3
Source: RefSeq, a predicted model, not a curated record
GGUGUCCAAGGAUUGUGUUUGAAAGGGAGGAAGCAUUCUUGAAGUGGUGGGUGACAGAUUGUCUAAACCCUUCUAAGAUAUUCUGCACGGGAGAUUUUUGAGGCAGCUCAGCCAUGAAGAUCCCCUGGAGGAAAGGGCACCCCCUGGGCCAGCCCCGUAAGCCAAUCGCCCUCUAAGACUCCAGGGACCAAGGGGCAAGCUGAAGGGGUCCAAGGCCGGAGGAUGCUGGAGGACAAAAGAAAUAUUUGGACGUCAGAACUGAUUUAUAUUUUUGGAAGAGCUACGUUUCCUUUUCUGAAGAGAGGCGAGCGCGCCCCAUAUCCUGCGCUCGGCGGGAGGACUGCAGCGAGUCUUGAUGCGCCAGGAAGUUCAUCUGCGCGGAGUCGCGGGGCCCAGCGCCCCGCCGAGAUCGCUGCCCUCCUAGAUAUUUAUUUAUUUAUUUGGGGGGGAAGGGAAGGCAGAGGGCGAGGAGACCCUGCCAAACUAGAGAAGAAAACCCGGCCACUGGGUUGGGACCUCCAGGGCGCUUCCGUGAAAGCCUGCCCGCAGCCAGCCGACUUUCCCGCUCCAUCGGGGAGGUCUGGGGCCAGCCUUGCAGCCUCUGGGUGUUGGUGGGUGUUUUCUGUAGCAUCCCUGUGUGCAUGCCCAGUGCCCUCCUGGAGUGACCUCUUCGGGCUCUGCAGAGCUUCCCCGUGUGAGCCCGAGUGGCAAGCCACCCUAGCCACCUCCAAGGUGGAAGAAAGGAGGGGGUUGAGAAAACUCAAAGAGGGAGAGAGAGGGUAGGGAGAGAGGUAGGUGGGAAGGGAGGGGUGUGCAUGCGAAUUCCCAAGAGAAAAGAUAACCAGGGACAGGCAAGGUGGCCACUCCUGAGUGUACUGUGCUGUCUGCUAUAGUGUCAAGGCCAUGAGGCCACCAGACUCCCACAGGUUUCUAGAUAAUCUCAAAGCCCCAAAGCCAGCAGAUAUUUUCCCCCAGCUGUACAAGAGGCCUCUCAGAAUCAACGUGCCUAGGGGGCAUCUGCACUCACACUCUCUUCCCAGAUACGAAGUGCAGGUCUCCCAACUUCUUCAUCUUCCUUUGAGGGGGACCCUGGCCUGUGCCCUUGGCACCGCCAUCCCUAAACAUAGCAGGCUGUAGAAACCUAAAUGGCACUUGUUCCUUCCUGCAGGGGUGGGGUGAGAGUGGGUACUGUGGGGACAGGUUCCUCGUGGAACUCUCAUUAUGGCCAUCUAGAAAUGGAUAGAAAGAGGCCUAGGAGUUUUUGUUGUUGUUGUGUUGUUUUGUUUUGAAAGGAGGGGAGGUCUGGUAGAUUAGCCCUUUGUCCUCCCACUCCAAGCACCUCUAUGACCUGGCCAACUGGGUCACACAGAGUCUUGCCUAUAGCCAGACCUCCUGAGCUGUGGCACUGAUCUUUGAGGAGGGUGGCUUUAAGAGUCCUGCCCUGAACACAUGCACUUGGAGUGCUGAUGGAUGAAUGCAAAUAAAAUCUGGCUCUUGCCUCUCUCACUAGGCAUAUAUAGAAGUAUAGAAGGAGUAUAGAAGUUCUUGGCCAAGGAAAGAGAGCAGACUGUAAAACGAGGUUUAAAAUUAUUAGCUAUGCCUUCCAGAUUAAGUUCCUCUCUCCAAUCCCUGCUGGUGGAGCAAUCACCUACGGCCACAAAGCUCAACGUUGCCACUGACCAAUUCUGAAAGGUCUGGCCUGUGGUAGCAGCAGGCAAAGACUACCCAAGGAAACCCAAACCCUGUGCCACAAGCAAUUAUUGAAAGGCAUCGUGGGCGCUCAAAAACCUAAGCACGGAUCUAAACACGUGGUUAAAAUGAUGAGUUCUUCCGACCCAGGCUCAGGCUAAAGGAAGAGAAAGGUACAGAGCAUGCCAGCUCACCCAAGACCCGUCCUGAAUACCCUUAAAUACGCCUAGUGUAGAUGGGUCUCUGCCAUCCUUACUGGUUUAGUCUAAGCCAGUUCAUGUAAAACCCACGAAACAAAGGAAGCAUGCUAAGAAAAGAUUUAAACCACAACAAUGGAGCGAUUUCCUAGAAUAAAGUAUGGACUGCAGAACAAAAUCAGAGCAAUCCAAUUUUUGCUAGUUUACAUUCCCUUGCUAAGGGGUAAGGGUGGUACUCUAUGGGUUUGGAGGAGGAAGGGUGCCCACAGCCCAGAUGGAAACAGUUGACCAACCCAAUAUCGAUGGGAUGAGAACAGUUCUGAGCUGUGUGGCUUUUCUCUUCUUUUUCUUUUUUCUUUUUUCUUUUUCCUUCUUUACUUUUUCUUUGUCUUUUUUUGUUAUUGUUAAACAAGCCCGUAAGCUGAUCUAGAAUCAUUUAAUGAACCAUACCUGUACUUCUUCAUUUAAAAAAAAAUCAAGGUUUUUUGUUGUUGUUGUUGUUUAUAGGGACUAAAAUCAGUAGGAGAGGGCUCACACCAGAAGAAGGGACCUCCUAGAGAGUGGGACCAAUCUAAACAAAUCAGCAAGGAGACUUCCAUUUUAACCAUGGCUGGGAGGGGGCUGGGACUCAGGUAGAGAGCCUCCCUUGUUUGUCUCAAUCUGCAUCGCAACACAAGUAAACAAAUAAGCAAAAGCCUGCCCACCAGAAACGGAUACUCUUGCCGGGAGUAAGAAUUUGACCUAAUUCUCAAUCAGCUGUGUUCUUUCCAGACAGAUUUGGACACAUCUAUGACUAAAACACAAAGGUUGAGCUGCAAUAAAAAGAAAAGAACAUUGAAUUUGGAGUCCUAGCCCCACUCCCAUUCCUAAGCCAGCUAGAUCACUUGCCCCUGGGCAGCCUCAAAGAACCAUUGAACAUGGGAUCCCCAAGAACAAGAACAAGUUUUGGAGAUCUCUUCCUGCCCAAGAGCUCACCACGAAGCUCCCUGUCUUUCUGGAGUUGGGGCAGGUGUGGGGGUUGGGGGUGGAGGUGGUGGGGACCGGUAUACUAGAACAAAGGCUUCAAGUUUGCAUACUUUGCCUUGUCUACUGCAGACUACAAGAGUCAUUUCUUACAAAUUCAGAGAAUCUUAGUAACAUGUGAUCAAUACCUGGAUGAUAAAAGGACUCGUUUAAAACCUUUUAUAACAGAGAUUAAAAAUACGUAGAAAUUAAAAAAAAAAGAAAAACCUUGUAAAAAUCUCAGGUACCCCUUAGAAAAGAACUCAGUGGCUCCCAAACUGAGAGCUAAUGAUGUGGAAGGUUAUCAAACCUUGCCUUGGUUGUAAAAGGCUUAGUGCCUUCAUUCUCUUCAGACCUAAAACUUUUAAGGCCAGUAUUUAAAAGCAAGUACCAUGCGGGAGUGAGAGUCGUAGAGUCCCCGGGUGCAGGAAACAGAACAGGUGGAGAGCUGGCUGACCACAAUACUGACUUCAUACAAGUUUCUCAAACGUGUAGCCUGCCUACAAAACAGCAUGCCUCCCCUCCUCCCCACUCUUCUUCCAGAACCAAUGUUUUCCCCACUUCCAUACACACUCACUUGAAAACACUUUUACCAACACCGAAGUCUGCCCACAAAGCUCCUUUGGGCCAUUUCCUAUCCUCACCCAAGUUCCACCUCAUCUAAGCAAUUCUUUUCAGACACGUAGAACUUUGGUUUAUUGAGCACAUAUUUGCUUCCAUAUUAAGUCUCAUAAAAAAAAAUUAGACCAGGCAAGAUGACAAAGGGAAGGCGGGGAUCAGCAUGAAAUAAAUGGGGACUUGUCCCCCAAAUGUUCACUAGUCAGUCAAAAAGAAAUUCUUAGAAAGUCGAAACAUCAACCCCCCCCCCCCCAACCCAAGCAAAACAUCCCUUCCGGAAAAGAGCGACUUGUUUCUUUCUUUUUUUUUUUCUUUUUUCUUUUCCUCUCUUGAAAAUGAGAGGUCCACUCAGUUCUGCUCAGCGGUGUUUUCUUAGCUGACUCUGGGCUACAAUCGGGCCAUUUUCGGACACAUUCCCAUGUAGGUACCAGGGGUGCUCUGGAGGAAGCUGUCGACGCCUGUUCAGCUAAUUUAGGUUUUCUUUGUCUAAUUACUGUGGAGCUUAGGGAAAAGGAGCCGGGCUCAGGGCAGUAAACUGACACUCGGGCUCUGUGUGUGGUAUCCAGGCAGGGUUUGAUGGAAAAAGCCUGCUUCCACUCAACUCCAGGUCACUGUCUGGGGCCAGCCCCCUCCCCCCCCCCCUGCACCCGCCCUUUCCUCUGUUCCUCAGACCCACCAACAGUCUCCAUCAGGGGCAGUCCCCAUGCACUAGGGCACAGAGCUGGUGCAGGCUCCCCCACCCCCAGGAGGCCAGACCCCACUUGCUCAACCAGGCUCUUUGUAGCAUCUUUACUGGGCCCUGCACUCUCCUCUCUGCCUUGUCUCCCAUCUUCCCAGGCUUUCUGCGUACACAACACAAACCCAGUCCUCUCAGGGCUGGCGCAGUGCUGUGCCUACCAUUUGCUACUCUGAUGGGCAUCUCCUUCCCUCUGGGCCAGGCCACCAGCCCUGGUGUGGUCAGGCCUCCUUCAGCUUGCAACUCGCUUUGCAGCCCCUGUCCGGGGUCAGACUACAUUUCCCCGCACGUGUAAUCCAAUAACUAACUGUCGGGUCUCAUUGGAAUGAUUUCUCCCGAGGGCCAUCUCUCUCUGAGCCGACUCUUACUUAGAGGAAUAAGCCACAACUGGAGGAGUGUUCUCGAAUGGAGGGAGCUGGGCCACGGAACAUAGGGAGUGGGGGGGGGGUGCACCGGAAGACAGACGCUGUAAACCCACUGGCAGCUGUGCAGACCUUCCUUGUUGAUAAUAAAUACAACUAUCUCCUUACUCAGGGUCUCUCUUGCUCUCUCUCAGCAUGAAGUGGAAAUGACAAGUCAGUGGAAAAUGGAAGCAAAUAAAAAACCGAAUCCAUUCGACUCAAAAGAGUGUCUAAGAGGUGGCCCCAGGUUUCUCCACCCAAACCCCUUGCUCAGCUGACAAUCUGUUCAUAACUGCCCCGGGCACAGCUCAAGGGCGUCCAGUGUUUGCCCUCUGCUGUGACCUCUCA